This 2647-nucleotide long non-coding RNA is filed under the name Marmota monax (woodchuck). Lineage: Eukaryota; Metazoa; Chordata; Mammalia; Rodentia; Sciuridae. The record is from RNAcentral.
GUGCGACUCUGUGCUCUAAGAGCCUGGAGGAAGUUGCCAUCUGGGGGAGACACAGUUUCUAUACAGGGUUUAAGGCAGAAAGCUAUUGAGGACUUGCCGCAGUUUAUUGACAGAGUAAACAAGGUGGUAGAAGAGAAGAUGUCUAAUGAAGGAACUAGGGCAGCAUCUGGGACUAAAUAAGGAACAGACAGCAGCAGUGGUGGCAGUAAGCAAUGGCACACCAGAUGACUGGAUUUCAGCCACCCAGGAUACAGGGGCACAAGCAGCUCAACGCUCACUGCUGGCCUCAGCCAUGGCAGUUGCAUAGAGGCAGGACUAAGGAGGCUUGCAGACAGCUAUUCAGAGACUGCAAAAAAUAUGCACCUUUUCUCCCCAUUGGCCCUUUCAACCUACUGGAGUGAAUCCCCAAGAGUUAAAAUCUAAUGCUUUAUCACAAAUGGAUGCUAUUCAUUAUGCUCUUUUUGGAAAUUUAACAUAUAUUCAUGUAAUUAUUGAUAUCUGUUCAGGCUGUAUAAUGGCCAUAGCCUCCACAGGAGAAACCACAAAAAAGGUUAUCUCCCAUCUACUUAAAUGUUUUGGAAUUAUGGAUGUUCUCAUGUGAAUUGAAACUGACAAUGGGCCAGCCUAUACUAGAAAGACAUUACAAGAGGUCUGCAAUGAUUGGCAUAUAUGGCACUUAACUAGGAUCCCCUACAACACUUACACUCAAGGCAUCAUAGAAAGAACACACAAAGAAUUUAAAGAUUAUGCUACAAAACAGAGGGGGGGGGGACUAUACCAAGUCCCUCAUGAUGCCUUGAAAAGAAUCUUAUUUACUUUAAAUUUUCUUUCAAUUUCAAACUUUCUACAAAAAUAGCAGCCAAUAAGAAUUGGGUCCCCCUCACAGGACCCUCCCAUCUACCUAUGAUAUCAUGGAAGGAUUCCAUAACAAAUGCAUGGGAUGGUCUGGAGUCCCUCCUAAACAUGGAUGAAGCAUUUACAUAUGUUAACAGGAGCCUCACCCCAUCUGGGUGCCUGCCAGAAAUGUCAAGCCCUGGACACCAAGAACCACCAACCAUACCAACCAAGAAGAUGAAGGAACAAACUCUGGAAGAAAAACCUCACAAACAAAGAGCUCAACAAUGUAAACGGACCUCAUGUAAAGUAACCUGGAGAGAUAUUAAAGGUCUUGUGGAACAAGCCAUCAGAUUGGCCCCUUUGCCCGGUGGCAAUAGGGCCUAUGAUGAUGGUCCUAUUGUGUGCAGCACUCACUGCUAACAGUGAAGUCUCCCAUCAGGUAAACUGAGUUGUGGUCACUAAGUCACCAUCUUCAGCAGUUGCUAAUUGGGAAGAAAUUUACCUGAGCUAUUCUCUAAUAAUUCCAAAUGUAUUGAUCCUGAGUUAUCCAUUCAGGAGAUGUCAAUAACCUGGAAUGCCAGCAUUUUCAUUCCCACUCUGCCUAUUUCUUUUUCUGUAGUGGAUAGUGAAACCUAUGAUCCAGACACUCCCCUCGGUUUUGUACUUGCCAAUGAAACUAUUGUAAAUGACUAUAAUAAGGCAUAUGUUGGGCUAUCUAUCAAUGACCAUAAAGUUAUAGUUAAUGCUACCUAUAGCCAUAGACCCCCCAUGGCAAAUGCGACAAACCCUUGGUGCCAACAUGCUCAACAAUGCUUUUUGGGAAGCUCCUCUCAGAUAAUGAUAGCAUCCCAUGUAAUCAAUGUGUCACUGCCAUACCUUAUCUGCUUGAUAAGAGACAUUUCUCUGGGAAGAACAAUAACUAUGUGCCUGGGCAGGCACAGCUUCCUGGAAUGUAACUGAUGUGCCCAAGAACAAUAUGGGCUACUGUAGUGCAUGCUACAUGGGACAAGCCAUUACCAACCUUUUUGCAGGAAAUCAGUAUGGCAUGAUAGCUAUCAUGCCAAUAUUGCUAGCUGCUAGACCCAACAAAUGGGCAGCAGCCAGUUGAGUCCAGACCCUGACCAUGGAUUUGCCUUUGUGCCAAAUUAUACCCAUACUGACUAUGCACAAGCUUGUGUUACACCACCAUUUGCCAGGCUAAUAAUCAAUGAUACUGAUGGCAUAAAUAUCUCUCAUACAGAGAUCCUACAGUCAAUACAUCCUGCUGGCUCACAAGUUGUUUAAACCCUGCUAUGAAAGCUAAAUGUAUAUUUAUCCCUAGAGUGCUCCCAGCAGUCUGCUUCCAGUGAAUCUGUCCAGUAAGUGCAGGAGUCCAUGGGACACAGAGAUGAAGAAUCCUCUGAAUGAGAUUCAACACCAGACAAGGCAUGUGAUUAGCCUCAUCAUCGCUGGAAUUUUUGCCCUGGUAGCCACCAUCGCCACCACAGCCACUGCCGCUGCUUCACUCACUCAUAGUAUCAAGACUACUCAGACUGUAAACAACUUUGUUACUGCCAUGGCAUAAGCCUUUGCCAUUCAAAAUGACUUAAAUAAACUGUCCCAAGCUGUUAUUUCAGUCAUUCAAUAAGAGCUAGACCUCCACCAGGAACAACUAGAUACUCUGUUUAUGUUAUAAAGGCUCAGUUGUGACUCUAAAUUUCAUAGUAUUUGUGUCACCUAAUAUGCUGUAUCUGAAAACAGAACCUUACACUUCUCCAAUUUUUCUCAAUAUAUUAAGGGCACUUGGGAUGCAAACUAUGUUAUGACUAUG